UUUACCUCCAGGGAGAGGCAGGGAUCAGCGGGCUCCCAGGUGGACUUGGCCUCCGGGGCCCCCCGGGACCCUCUGGACUCCCAGGCCUGCCUGGCCCUCCGGGACCUCCUGGACCCCCUGGUCACCCAGGGGUCCUCCCCGAAGGCGCUACUGACCUUCAGUGCCCGGCCAUCUGCCCGGCCCCCCGG
This is a long non-coding RNA of Myotis davidii, 188 nucleotides long. RefSeq lists it as uncharacterized. NCBI's taxonomy places the organism in Eukaryota, Metazoa, Chordata, Mammalia, Chiroptera, Vespertilionidae. The record is from RefSeq and is a predicted model, not a curated record. The transcript is spliced from 4 exons.